UCAGGAUGAACGCUAGCUACAGGCUUAACACAUGCAAGUCGAGGGGCAGCAUUGGAGUAGCAAUACUCAGAUGGCGACCGGCGCACGGGUGAGUAACACGUAUCCAACCUGCCGCUUACUCGGGGAUAGCCUUUCGAAAGAAAGAUUAAUACCCGAUGGUAUAAAGAGUUCGCAUGUUCUCUUUAUUAAAGAAUUUCGGUAAGCGAUGGGGAUGCGUUCCAUUAGAUAGUUGGCGGGGUAACGGCCCACCAAGUCUACGAUGGAUAGGGUUCUGAGAGGAAGGUCCCCCACAUUGGAACUGAGACACGGUCCAAACUCCUACGGGAGGCAGCAGUGAGGAAUAUUGGUCAAUGGACGAGAGUCUGAACCAGCCAAGUAGCGUGAAGGAUGACUGCCCUAUGGGUUGUAAACUUCUUUUAUAAGGGAAUAAAGUGAGGGACGUGUCCCUUUUUGUAUGUACCUUAUGAAUAAGGAUCGGCUAACUCCGUGCCAGCAGCAGC
RNAcentral lists this ribosomal RNA (500 nucleotides) under uncultured bacterium. Its description in RNAcentral is "bacterial SSU rRNA". It matches the Rfam family "Bacterial small subunit ribosomal RNA", at positions 24 to 518 of the family's 1533-position model. The record is from RNAcentral.